UUAAAAGAUAUGAAGUUUUGGUCUUCUGAUUUGUUUAAUGGUCAUUUUUUAGGGUUUGUAAA
Molecule: transfer RNA, 62 nt
Filed under: Pallisentis celatus
Lineage: Eukaryota; Metazoa; Acanthocephala; Eoacanthocephala; Gyracanthocephala; Quadrigyridae
Description: tRNA-Gln
Source: RNAcentral